Molecule: ribosomal RNA, 465 nt
Filed under: uncultured bacterium
Lineage: Bacteria
Description: partial 16S ribosomal RNA
Rfam family: Bacterial small subunit ribosomal RNA
Source: RNAcentral
GACGAACGCUGGCGGCGUGCUUAACACAUGCAAGUCGAACGGAAAGGCCCCUUUGGGGGUACUCGAGUGGCGAACGGGGGAGUAACACGUGAGUAACCUGCCCUUGACUUCGGGAUAACUUCAGGAACCUGGGGCUAAUACCGGAUAGGAAUCCUUGCUGCAUGGGGGGGGUUGGAAAGCUUCGGCGGGUUUGGAUGGACUCGCGGCUUAUCAGCUUGUUGGUGGGGUAGUGGCUUACCAAGGCGUGGACGGGUAGCCGGCCUGCGUGGGCGACCGGCCACAUUGGGACCGAGAUACGGCCCAGACACCUACGGGAGGCAGCAGUGGGGAAGAUUGAACAAUGGGCGGAAGCCUGAUGCAGCAACGCCGCGUGCGGGAUGACGGCCUUCGGGUUGUAAACCGCUUUCAGCAGGGGCGAAGCUUGUGGUGACGGUACCUGCAGAAGAAGCACCGGCUAACUACGUG